UGUCUCAAAGAUUAAGCCAUGCAUGUCUAAGUAUAAGCAAUUAUACGGCGAAACUGCCGAAUGGCUCAUUAUAUAAGUUAUCGUUCAUUUGAUAGCACCUCGCUACUUGGAUAACCGUGGUAAUUCUAGAGCUAAUACAUGCUGAAAAUCCCGACUUCGGAAGGGAUGUAUUUAUUAGAUUAAAAACCAAUGCCCCCUGGGCUCUCUGGUGAUUCAUGAUAACUGCUCGAAUCGCAUGGCCUUGCGCCGGCGAUGGCUCAUUCAAAUUUCUUCCCUAUCAACUUUCGAUGUUUGGGUAGUGGCCAAACAUGGUUGCAACGGGUAACGGAGGGUUAGGGCUCGACCCCGGAGAAGGAGCCUGAGAAACGGCUACUACAUCCAAGGAAGGCAGCAGGCGCGCAAAUUACCCAAUCCCGACACGGGGAGGUAGUGACAAUAAAUACUGAUACAGGGCUCUUUUGGGUCUUGUAAUUGGAAUGAGUACAAUUUAAAUCCCUUAACGAGGAACAAUUGGAGGGCAAGUCUGGUGCCAGCAGCCGCGGUAAUUCCAGCUCCAAUAGCGUAUAUUAAAGUUGUUGUGGUUAAAAAGCUCGUAGUUGAA
RNAcentral lists this ribosomal RNA (601 nucleotides) under Ophiocordyceps kniphofioides var. kniphofioides. RNAcentral describes it as "SSU rRNA". It matches the Rfam family "Eukaryotic small subunit ribosomal RNA", at positions 33 to 638 of the family's 1831-position model. Lineage: Eukaryota; Fungi; Ascomycota; Sordariomycetes; Hypocreales; Ophiocordycipitaceae. The record is from RNAcentral.